Molecule: long non-coding RNA, 1950 nt
Filed under: Fragaria vesca (wild strawberry)
Lineage: Eukaryota; Viridiplantae; Streptophyta; Magnoliopsida; Rosales; Rosaceae
Description: long non-coding RNA (FVES_LNC005567)
Source: RNAcentral
GAAGUUUAGUGAUCAGGAGUAUUUAUUUUUCUAGUAAAAUUCAAGUUUAAUACAUGUAUAUUUUUUAGUUAUCUCUCUGAAAUAAGAAACACCCAAUUGUUCAUUCUUUUUCAUUUAUUUAUCUCGAGGCAUCUUUCAACAAUGGCGGUUCCCUAGCUAAUUGGGCGAUAGAAUUGAAGAAAUGAAGACGCAUGCAUUUUGUUUUUUGCAAUAUUACAAAUUAUCAGACGGGUAUACAAGUAGGUUUUAUACAAAUCUUCAUCCCUUUCUUGUGUAUUUAUUUAAGAUGAUAAUUAGUUAAGACACUCUGUCAUUGCUAAAGAACGGAGAGUCAACACAUAUCACUCUCUCUCUCUCUGACUGAUUAGCUGAUGAGCUUCCUCAGAGUACUGGAACUGAUCAUAUAGUUUAAGUUUAGAAGGAAUUAAUGUUCCUUGGCGCGAGCAUCGGAAUAAUCUUAGGGAUCGGUUAGUAGAUGACACGCAGAGAUGAGAAAGACUACGUAGUUUCUCGGUUUCUGUUGUGUCUGUGAUUCAAAGACAAACUCCACCGCAAUCUUUGCCGACCUGCAAGAUUUUGAUCCCCCAAUCAUGCAUGGUUCUGUAGUAUCAAAAACAUUUACCCGAUUCUUAAUUCGAUUUUAAUUUUGUAGAUUAUGUCUGCCUUGAUUCAUGAAUUACUUUACUAUCAAUUAGGGUGCACAUAGUCUCCUAUCCUUCAGUAGUUCAGUAUUAUAACCUCUGAAGGAUUGCAGCCAUGUGCUCGGCUCACAGAGCUCAGGAUUUUAUAUGGCCAUGUCCCAAGUCUAUAUAUAAGGUAAUAACAACUUGAUAUUUUUCAUAUAUAGUUUUCUGUGUUAAUUUACAUAUAGGAGAUCGAUCGAGUUGAUCAACAAUUGGUAAUGAUAUAUUCGUACAAACUGUUGAGAUAUAUAUCCCACAUCGGGAAUAAUGGGACCUUGCCUAUGGUUUAUAAGGAUUUGGGUCACUCCAUUUAUUGCCAAUUGGUUUUAGAUGUGAACCCCAGACUACUUUAUCAUGAUAUCAGAGCGGGUUACCCACGUCCAUGUGUGAAGCCUAAAGGCCACACGAACUCCACGUCACCCCAAAUGUUGUCCACGUGUUAGGCUUGAAGAUUCGCCACACGUGCGGGGACGUGUUGAGAUAUAUAUAUCCCACAUCGGGAAUAAUGGGACCUUGCCUGUGGUUUAUAAGGGUUUGGGUCACUCCAUCUAUUGCCAAUUGGUUUUGGAUGUGAACCCCAGACUACUUUAUCACAAACGAGCACUACAUCAUCACAGCAAUUUUCUCAGAAAUAUAGGUCGCAUAUAUUACAUUAUCAAGAGCAUUAUAGAGAAGAUGAGAGAACAUGUCAGUUUUUCUUCAUUCUUUCAAUCUCCUAAUUUUGUAAUGAUAAUUUGCAGGCGGUGCAUGCAAUUGAACGGAUCAGUUCUAUAAGCUAGUAAUGGAAGUUUGAACAUUCAAAGUUUGAAGGAAAGAGCCAUGAAAGUACCAUCGGAGUGGUUCAUUCAAAUGAUUCACUGUAAUGAGACUCCAGUUGGGAUUAUUAAGACGGUACAUACUCGUGAUUCAAUGUAUCCCUGGCAAAAUGAUACUGAUGUAUUAUCAUGUUCCUUAUUAGUCUAGUUAAGAUGGUUAAUCUCACUUUGCCGCUUAUUACCAUUUAUAGAAUUUGGACAAGAUGCGCUACCUGAUCUCUACAAGGUGAAGAUAAGGAGUGAUCAAGUGCGAUUGGACCCAUGAUUAGAUGUAUAAAAUUAGUUGUGGACAUCGUUAACAAAAGACUGCGGGAGGAUAAUAAAGGUUACGUACUCACAUCCGUGAUCGAUCGGCUUUUCCAUUGAUCGACAAGACCUUUAAUAUACACCGGUACAUAAUUUAACACCAUGUUUUAUAAUUGUCAGAUAUGCUUCUUCUACCACUGUUGCUA